AGAAAAACGCUAGCCCAUUCCCCUUCGCAUCCCUGUUGCCGCCGCCGCCCUCCCAAUUUCCUCUGCUCCUGCUGCUUCCCUCCACCUCUCUCUCCUCCACGCCGUCGGGGGCGCCCCUCAAGCCCCACCUCGUCUGUUCCCCACCCCGAGCUCCUUCUCCCCCACCCCGGUCGAGCAUCGGAUAGGCAGAGGGAGUGCCUUGGUCGAGGGACAACGAGGCUCGCCGGCUGGGUGACUCCGAGCGCUGGAGGCUAGACAGGCACAGGCAGGGGCGGAUCCAUGUGGGGGCAUGGGUGCCGUCGCGCCAUCGAAGGCCUCCACGGCGCCCUCUAUCAGACGACGGGCGUGGGACGCCGCGGGAGGCGUGCCGCGUUCGAGAGCCACUGUGGAUUAUCUUCGAGGUGUCAGGCGACAUUCGCCUCGAGACCUACCUCCGGGUCUCUUCCCAUAUGCAUUGACGGGCGCGGGUAGCGGGUCAGGCUCACCGGCAAGGCGCCGCUUGCCUCUGAACUUGUGAUGUCCGGCCAUUGCAUCCGGGAGGAGCUCCUCUUCAGGAAGAAUGCCGAGACGUACGCCACUGCUGCGACUGCCGUUCUCGUCCACGUUUUGACUACACUUGCAGGCAACUGCGAAGGCAAAAUCUACAUGUGAGAAGUGCAGAUGAGCCCUGCUGUGCUAAUUACCUGUAUUCUGAAUUGGCUGCUGAAGUACAUAAGUGAAGUCUAUUGGUGAAGGAGAUGUGAAGAAUGAUAUAGAGCAAGUAGAUAAAAACCGCAGUUGUUGGGCCCAAGUUUUACAUGAGUAUUCCUACACAUAGAUGAAUACCCUCCUGGUGCUAAUCAAGGAUUUGAUAUUCUGUUAGCUUUGGUUAACUUGCCUGAGUUAAUGCCUACAUGAGGAGCUGAACAAAAAUGCGAUGGGGGAUCCCAUCUUAGAAUAGUUUUCCCUUUUCUCCCAAUAGCUUUCAUUUUGCAGUAUAUUAGCUAAUUCUGCGUAGGAUGAUUACAUAUGCAACAUUUGUAAAGGAGUAGACUUGUUAAAAGUUUCAAUUAAUAUCAUAUGAUGCCUGCUGGAUUA
Molecule: long non-coding RNA, 1077 nt
Organism: Triticum dicoccoides
Lineage: Eukaryota; Viridiplantae; Streptophyta; Magnoliopsida; Poales; Poaceae
Exons: 6
Source: RefSeq, a predicted model, not a curated record